Molecule: long non-coding RNA, 470 nt
Organism: Hordeum vulgare subsp. vulgare (domesticated barley)
Lineage: Eukaryota; Viridiplantae; Streptophyta; Magnoliopsida; Poales; Poaceae
Exons: 3
Source: RefSeq, a predicted model, not a curated record
UCCCAGCACUCCUGAGUCCUGCCCCAGACCUCGCCGCCGGCGUCCAUGUCGUCGUUUCUCCCCCGUCUCCCCUCCCCUCCCCCGACACGGCGGAGGCGGCGGCGGAGUGCGAGACGGAGCGAGGCGAGUGUCCUCUCCACUCACCCACUCAGCUCUUGCGGCUCGCCUUUCCCCUCCCCUCCCCUCCCCCGCGAGCCCGACGACCGGCUGAAAAUUCGAAAUGCGCUCGUCUCGGUCGGUCGGACCGCCGGACCGCGUGACCGGUUCGGAGCUACGUUGGGGCCAGGGCUACUCCAGUUUUUCCCUUCAAUAAUUAUAUAUAUAGGAAUUGCCUUUAUUUAUGCACAUAUAUUUCUGUGAUCCCAAAACUCUACCCAGUUGAAGAAUAAUGCAGCAACCGGUGGUCCAAGAUUGUAAUAUGCUGAGAAGUCUCUGAUGUUAAAAUUUUGCCUCCAUCCUGGUGCAUAAAC